GUCUCUGACCAUGCUACCCUGAACAAGCCCGAUCCUGUCUGAUUUCAGAAGCUAAGCAUGGUCGGUCCCAGUUAGUACUUGGAUGGGAGACCACCUAGGAAGACCAGGUGCCGUAGGCA
RNAcentral lists this ribosomal RNA (119 nucleotides) under Pteropus alecto (black flying fox). The record is from RNAcentral. Lineage: Eukaryota; Metazoa; Chordata; Mammalia; Chiroptera; Pteropodidae.